UCUAGUUUCUAAAAAAAAAAUAAAAUAAAUAACUUCAAUCCAAUUAAUAGAUUACUAAAGAUCUUAAAAAUAUUCAAUGACCUUCAAAUUCCAAUUUCUAAGACUUCAACCUACAAAAAUCUUUAUAUUUUUUGAUCUAACUAUUUGAUUGAUCUCAAAAUUUGAGUACACAAUAAUUACUAGAACACCAACAUACUGCCCAAAAUUCACUUAUAUACAUACCACAAAACUAAGGAAAUCUUCAAUUUUAUAAACAUAAUUUUAUUGUUCAAAAUCUAAUCCAACCAAAAAAAUCACUAACUUUGAAAAU
Molecule: long non-coding RNA, 310 nt
Filed under: Physcomitrium patens
Lineage: Eukaryota; Viridiplantae; Streptophyta; Bryopsida; Funariales; Funariaceae
Description: long non-coding RNA (PPAT_LNC004232)
Source: RNAcentral